UGAGGUAGUUAUAAAUGAAGUGAUGACCAUGCAACAUUCUGUUCAUUUUUUCUACCUCACC
Molecule: microRNA precursor, 61 nt
Filed under: Pristionchus pacificus
Lineage: Eukaryota; Metazoa; Nematoda; Chromadorea; Rhabditida; Neodiplogasteridae
Description: microRNA ppc-mir-84f precursor
Gene: ppc-mir-84f
Source: miRBase by way of RNAcentral